Non-coding RNA from Pelobates cultripes (western spadefoot toad), 340 nucleotides. Lineage: Eukaryota; Metazoa; Chordata; Amphibia; Anura; Pelobatidae. The record is from the annotation of a GenBank genome assembly.
GUAGCCAACGCUGUUUAUAUAUAUAUACAUAUAUUUAAAAAUAUUGGGACAUAUAAAAAAAGACAACUUUGUUCCGCAGAGUAGCUGUUGACAUUAUAGUUGCGCAGGAACUUUGACUCUAGAGAAUCUCGGGCAAAUCGCACAUCCCUGUGGUGGCGACUUUGCAUGCGGAUGUCAUCCAUAUCAACUUUCAAUGCCAGUUUCUGCGCCUACCAUGGUGACCACGGGUAACGGGGAAUCAGGGUUCCAUUCCAUACAGGGACCCUGAGAAACGGCUACCACAUACAAGGAAGGCAUCAGGCGCGCAAAUGACCCACUCCCGACGCGGGAAGGUAGUGAC